This 440-nucleotide ribosomal RNA is filed under the name uncultured bacterium. RNAcentral's name for it is "partial 16S ribosomal RNA". It matches the Rfam family "Bacterial small subunit ribosomal RNA", at positions 338 to 795 of the family's 1533-position model. The record is from RNAcentral.
CCUACGGGAGGCAGCAGUGGGGAAUAUUGCACAAUGGGGGAAACCCUGAUGCAGCGACGCCGCGUGAGUGAAGAAGUAAUUCGUUAUGUAAAGCUCUAUCAGCAGGGAAGAAAAUGACGGUACCUGAGUAAGAAGCCCCGGCUAAAUACGUGCCAGCGGCCGCGGUAAUACGUAGGGGGCAAGCGUUAUCCGGAUUGACUGGGUGGAAAGGGAGCGUAGACGGCAGUGCAAGUCUGGGGUGAAAGGCGGGGGCUCAACCCCCGGACUGCUCUGGAAACUGUACGGCUGGAGUGCAGGAGAGGUAAGUGGAAUUCCUAGUGUAGCGGUGAAAUGCGUAGAGAUUAGGAGGAACACCAGUGGCGAAGGCGGCUUACUGGACUGUAACUGACGUUGAGGCUCGAAAGCGUGGGGAGCAAACAGGAUUAGAUACCCCGGUAGUC